UACGGAGGGUGCAAGCGUUAUCCGGAUUCACUGGGUUUAAAGGGUGCGUAGGUGGGCAGGUAAGUCAGUGGUGAAAUCUCCGGGCUUAACUCGGAAACUGCCAUUGAUACUAUCUUUCUUGAAUACCGUGGAGGUCAGCGGAAUAUGUCAUGUAGCGGUGAAAUGCUUAGAUAUGACAUAGAACACCAAUUGCGAAGGCAGCUUACUACGGAUACAUUGACACUGAGGCACGAAAGCGUGGGGAUCAAACAGG
This 253-nucleotide ribosomal RNA is filed under the name uncultured bacterium. RNAcentral's name for it is "partial 16S ribosomal RNA". It matches the Rfam family "Bacterial small subunit ribosomal RNA", at positions 524 to 776 of the family's 1533-position model. The record is from RNAcentral.